ACGGAGGGUGCGAGCGUUAAUCGGAAUUACUGGGCGUAAAGCGCACGUAGGCGGUGUCGUAAGUCGGAUGUGAAAGCCCUCGGCUCAACCGGGGAACUGCAUUCGAUACUGCGAUGCUUGAGUGCCGUAGAGGGUGGCGGAAUUCCAGGUGUAGGGGUGAAAUCCUUAGAUAUCUGGAGGAACACCAGUGGCGAAGGCAGCCUCCUGGCCCACAACUGACGCUGAGGUGCGAAAGCGUGGGGAUCAAACAG
Molecule: ribosomal RNA, 251 nt
Filed under: uncultured prokaryote
Description: partial 16S rRNA
Rfam family: Bacterial small subunit ribosomal RNA
Source: RNAcentral